Long non-coding RNA from Ctenopharyngodon idella (grass carp), 3099 nucleotides. RefSeq lists it as uncharacterized. NCBI's taxonomy places the organism in Eukaryota, Metazoa, Chordata, Actinopteri, Cypriniformes, Xenocyprididae. The record is from RefSeq and is a predicted model, not a curated record. The transcript has 6 exons.
GGACCGAUGAAGUCAGGGUGGAGAUGUCAAAAAAGGGCCUGUACAAGAAACACUCCAUCGAUCACCCCCUCCUUCGGGGAUUUAAUCGAUAUUUGCGUGUUGACUUGGGCAACAAAAAGAGCAAACAAGAGGUAAGUGAAAGAAAAGAUACCUUUAAGUGUCACCCACACACUCACGCUUUCACACAGAAAAAUAAAGAAAUAAAUGUGAAGACAAAUGCUCUUCUGAACUGUGUGCUGCGGUCACAUGUUAACCUGUGUUAUAUUCAGCCCUGCAGAUUUUAAUGUGAAAUGUAUACUUACAGGUGGAAGAAGUCUCCAGGUUCAUGUAUUACGUGGACCCCAGUGAGCCGAACCUGAAUUUUGUGCGGGAGGUGGAGAAAGUGCGAGAGUACUUCAAUACACUGACCCAGACAAAGCUCUCGAAGCAGACGGUGCUGAACUACUGGAAGAGUCUCAAGAGGUCAGUACUGUGUAACGUAAACAUCUCAUCUGAAUUUCAACUAAUAUUUAUGGGAUGAUUAUUCGUCUUCUGACUGUAACAACCCUUCCUGUCUCUCUCUUCAAGGUUCAUGAGGUACAUUGUUACCAGCACCAGCAUCCGUGUCAAAGAUCCCAGCCUGUACAACGACUGCAAGAGCUUCACUGAUCCUCUGGAUGGCAUACGGGCUGGGAUGUCUAAGAAGGUCAACAAGGAGCAGACACAAAAAAGGUCAGUUUUUUUUUUUUUUACUCUUUUUUUUUUUUUUUUAAUCUAUUUAAUGGAAAGCACAGGUGAGUUCAAGUUCAACAUUACUAUUUUUUUUUUUUCCCUCAGGUUCCGCGGCUACGGCAAGGAAAAAUUUCCGGCUGACUGCAUCACAAUCUUGGAUGCUGCUUAUACGGAUUUCCUGGCUGUCAUGGGCAAACUUCAGGGUCCAGGAGCCAUUUCAGGGGAGGAACUCAGCAAAAACGAACGUCUGCUUGUCCUCUAUUAUCUUGAGGCCAUAAUUAUGCUUAAACUUCUACAACGCCCAGGGGUUGUUACGAAUAUGACCGUAAGUGUAUUUUAGUAACAACAGCAUCUUUUAUUUUCCUUUACCCAUAUGCCUCCUGAUCUUGUGCUUCACAGAUGCGUGUACCUUUUGAGUGUUUGUGACGCCUGUCAUUGAAAGCACACAACUGUCUGUUUUCAGGUUGAGGAAUGGAAGGGGAGAACCCGGCAUCCAAACGGAGCUUCCGUGGCGGUGAAGGAGCAUAAAACGGCCGCGUCGCAAAUAGCAGAAGUACCGCUGACUGAUGACCAAGAACAUUGGUUUGGCCUGUACUUCGAUGAGAUUCGGCCGGUGAUGUUACAAGGUAAUAAGUCAGUGGACAAUGCAGCAGCAGAGCAGAGUUUUUUUGUUUCAAGUACUGGAAGGCCAAUUUAUAACCCCUGCAACGACUUGAAAAGAUUCCAUGCCAAAUACAACAUUCCCAGGGUGACCAGCAGCGACGCUCGGACAGCCUUUGAGACGGCUGCUAAAAAUCUGCCGGAGGUGCAGAGGAAUGCGGUGGCACGUCUCUUGGGACACACGCCGGAAACAGCAGAGAAGCAUUACCGGAUGAAAACUCCGGCAGAUGCAUUCCUGGCCAAGGUUGUGGUCGAUGAGCUCACUGCAAAAACACGAGGUGCGUCUAGUGGGGCUUCUGGCCAAGAGAAAAGGAUGGAUGAACAGACGGCGUUUGACUUGCUGGUUCAGUCCUGCCCAGUGACUCUUGACGGGCCUCCUCCGAAAAGGGCACGCAGACACGAACUGUGCGCUGAACACGAGAGGCACUGCUACGACCGCUGGCGCAGCGAGCAGCUCAAGCUGCGUGAACAGCGUGUCCUUGAAUAUUUCGGUCGGUGUCAGCUGUCUGAGUCACAAGUGGAGGCCUGGGUGGAGAAACAAGGAUGGACGUCUAACGUCCCACAGGCUUCCCUAAUACUCAAGAAAUACUCCAAGUAGCCUUGAACAGCUCCCCUGCGGCUCUGUGGGUUACAAAAAUAAAUGUGAGCGGGCUACUUCCAAGCCACAUUAUUUUUGUGCCUACUUUUCAGCCACAAAACACCACCUCUCUUGCUCUCCAAGUUGCCCUGAAUGACUCUGUCUCUUUUUUUAGUACUUUACUCAAAGAUAUGUGAGCGGGCUAAUUUCCAAGCCACAUAUCUCUUCUCUUUGUCUACUUUUUUGUUUUCAGCCACAAAACACCACCUCUCUUGCUCUCCAAGUUGCCCUGAAUGACUCUGUCUCUUUUUUUAGUACUUUACUCAAAGAUAUGUGAGCGGGCUAAUUUCCAAGCCACAUAUCUCUUCUCCUUGCCUACUUUUUUGUUUUCAGCCACAAAAAAGUAAAAAAAGACCACCAAUACAGAUUUUUUUUUCUUUCAAUAUUCAUAGGCAACUGGAAGUGCACCAGCUACAAAUAACCAAACAUCAGCAGCUCACUCGAGGACCACUACAUGAGGACUCCAGAGAAGAAGAAGAAGAAGACGAAGACGAAGAAGAAGGAGGAGGAGGAUUUGACAGAGGAAGGCGCACGCUGGAUCCAUACGCUGCAUCUCAUUUCGGAGACUGCGUCCUACGGAGGUCGCAUUUGAAGGCUGCAUACGUCAUCAAGGAUGUCUUAUUUAAGAAAAGUAAACGUAAUUAAACAAACUGUUAUUCCUCGUGAGACGUAAAAUACUAUAAUUUCUUUCUUACUUUGCAAUCUAACAGUUAAUUUUUUUUCAAAUGAGACCGCCUCGAUGACAUAUGCAGCCUUCAAAAGUGACCUCCGGAGGACACAGCCUUCAAAACAAGACAGCUAUAAUCAUUAUAUUCUUAUUCUGUACAUACAGAUGCUAUUAUAAUUUUUUGUUCAUGUUUUCAAUCUACGUUUGUCAUUUCUUCUUUUGUUGUUAAUGAUCUGUAUUUGUCAUUAUUCAAGUCUUAUUUGUUGCACUUUAUUAAUCGUGUACCUGUCAUAGGUAUUCAUGUUUAUAUCAGGCAACCAAAAGUUGCAGAGGUCAGAGUGUCAAAAUGCUCAAAGACAAACUAAUUUUGUUAAAACUCUAAUAGAAAGUUGACAUUUUUAUACUUGUAUUGAUUUUUCAUGUU